Macaca mulatta (Rhesus monkey) is the source of this 1182-nucleotide non-coding RNA. NCBI's taxonomy places the organism in Eukaryota, Metazoa, Chordata, Mammalia, Primates, Cercopithecidae. The record is from RefSeq and is a predicted model, not a curated record.
UACCCAGCCCCAGAGCCUCUGCCAAUGACUCAAUUAUACAAAAUCAUUUGCCUCUGAGCCUUCAUAACACUUAUUAUCUGCUCUAUGCAUGUGGCAUCUGCAAAAUACUGUCUUUGUGCAGUGGAAAGAGGAUAGAACUUAAAAGCCUGAGUGUCGAACAUCCAUUCUACCCUUUGCUGGCCCUGUCACUUGGAGGCACUACGUGCACUGACAUUGCCUCAUCUUCGCAGUGGGGAUGACGGCACAUGCACUCCCUUCCCAGAGGCGUGAGGGUUACAGGAGACCCUGGUGUCAGUCUCUCCCCUCACUAGCCACUAGAGAUCCUGACAGUGAAGCCUGGUACUAAUCCUCAAGAAGCCCACAGCCUGGUCAAAAAGAGAAGCAUACCAGAACAAACACGAAGCAAAACCUUAUGCCACAAGCUAGUAGAUAAUCACAAGCACACACACUAAUGGGACACGAGCCCCAUAAAGGCAGAGAUGGCUCCAAGGCCUGGAGGCUUGAGGAAUGCAGGACGUGAGCUGGAAGGAUGGGUGGAAUUUCAAUAAAUGGGCAGGGAGCAUUCUAAAUAGGGGAGUGAUGGAGACAAAAACACAAACAGGAAAUUGAGCGACAUGUUCAGGAAAGACAGAGCAUAGCCGCUGGGCAGCCAGGUCAACUGGCGGCAAGGCAGGAGUUGGCCAGGGAAGCACCGCGCCGCCCCUGCACACCCUGCAUCCUCGGGUCCUGGGAGGGCUGCUCAGUAACUGGAAGGAAAAUGAAACUGAAAAAGAGCAAGGGUCCCGUAGGGCCGUCAGCCCCAAGUCUCCGCUCGGCAAAACCGCUCCCUCCUGGUGGACGCCCUCACCGUGAAGGGCUGCAGGUGGCUGGCCAGGAGAAGCCUGCCCAGCGACACUGCCCAGCGACGCUGAGGCACCAAACAUGAGCAGAGGAGGAAGGAACGCCUGGGAGCAGCUGAGCUGAGCCCCUGCCACCAGCCUCCUCCGCACGCCCGCGGAAUCAGCACUUUCUGCUUCCCGCCCCGCCCCUGAGAGUCUUGCUCUGGGGCCACUCACAGCCAAUUAAGUGGGGUUGUUGUAAGAGAGUCUAAAAUACAUGGAGCUGGCCGAGGACGUGGGGCCGACCCCAUUGUGUGUGUGUGAGGCCAUGAUUAAAGUGUUACCUGUCACCAGGUGUCGCCAA